Molecule: long non-coding RNA, 412 nt
Organism: Gasterosteus aculeatus aculeatus (three-spined stickleback)
Lineage: Eukaryota; Metazoa; Chordata; Actinopteri; Perciformes; Gasterosteidae
Source: Ensembl
CUUCCGCCUGAGGGCCGGGGAGUUGGCACAGAGGGAGAAAUUGGUGGAGAUGGAUGGGAAAUGCUGGGUGAGGUUAUACACCCUAAGGUCCUAGCACUCAAUGUGAGAUAGACUGCUGUAAUGUUAUGACGGUAUGGUGUGCGGGGCUCAUCUUCCGCCUGCGAUGAGGUGAUAAAGAACACACGGCGUGCAGAGCAGGUCCAGGCCUGUGCAAAACACGCCACACCGACCCCCCCUGUGAGAAGUUCCCUGUUCCCAGGACCCAGUGUGUGCGUUUGGGGGGCAAUAACUCACCAGGUUCCCCCGACUUCCUCUUUCGGCCUUCUGCGUUUUAUGACUCUCUCUCCUCGGCCGUACAGCUGCCGUCUCCGCAGCUUCCCUGCGCUGUGAUUGGACCAGGCGGGAGUUUGAG